RNAcentral lists this ribosomal RNA (387 nucleotides) under Klebsiella pneumoniae. RNAcentral's name for it is "partial 23S ribosomal RNA". It matches the Rfam family "Bacterial large subunit ribosomal RNA", at positions 2556 to 2925 of the family's 2925-position model. Lineage: Bacteria; Pseudomonadati; Pseudomonadota; Gammaproteobacteria; Enterobacterales; Enterobacteriaceae. The record is from RNAcentral.
AAGUAGGUCCCAAGGGUAUGGCUGUUCGCCAUUUAAAGUGGUACGCGAGCUGGGUUUAGAACGUCGUGAGACAGUUCGGUCCCUAUCUGCCGUGGGCGCUGGAGAAUUGAGGGGGGCUGCUCCUAGUACGAGAGGACCGGAGUGGACGCAUCACUGGUGUUCGGGUUGUCAUGCCAAUGGCACUGCCCGGUAGCUAAAUGCGGAAGAGAUAAGUGCUGAAAGCAUCUAAGCACGAAACUUGCCCCGAGAUGAGUUCUCCCUGAGACUUUAAGUCUCCUGAAGGAACGUUGAAGACGACGACGUUGAUAGGCCGGGUGUGUAAGCGCAGCGAUGCGUUGAGCUAACCGGUACUAAUGAACCGUGAGGCUUAACCUUACAACGCCGAAG